Epinephelus lanceolatus (giant grouper) is the source of this 354-nucleotide non-coding RNA. NCBI's taxonomy places the organism in Eukaryota, Metazoa, Chordata, Actinopteri, Perciformes, Serranidae. The record is from RefSeq and is a predicted model, not a curated record.
AAAUAUUAAUAUAUGGCAUAGAUUAAAGUGAUUGGGUGAAAUUACUUUAUUUUUGUUAACAGAAUUUCAGAAGGUUGUGGUGGAGACCUUGGUGGAGAUCCUGGACAAGCUGAAGCGCAGUAACAACGGGAACGUAGAAGAGGGUGGAACGCUGCCUGAGGUCCCUAUAAAUGGAGAGGACCAGUCUCGCAAGGUGGCGGAAGACCUGGAGGACCCUCCCAUCCGACAAGCUAUGUGUUCACUGCAGCUAGAUGGGCAAAUGACUCCCUCCUGUGAUGGAAUCAAAUUCAGCAUUCAAGAUUCAGAUUUGAAGUUCAAGAUCCACAUUUACAGUUUCACACUGCAUGUUUGAUA